GUGGGGAAUAUUCCGCAAUGGACGAAAGUCUGACGGAGCAACGCCGCGUGAGUGAUGAAGGUUUUCGGACUGUAAAGCUCUGUUGUUUAGGACGAAAGUGCCUGUUGCAAAUAGUUACAGGUAUUGACGGUACUGAACGAGGAAGCCACGGCUAACUACGUGCCAGCAGCCGCGGUAAUACGUAGGUGGCAAGCGUUGUCCGGAAUUAUUGGGCGUAAAGAGCAUGUAGGCGGGAAUCUAAGUCUGUUGUGAAAAUGCGGGGCUCAACCCCGUAUUGCGAUGGAAACUGGGUUUCUUGAGUGCAGGGGAGGAAAGGGGAAUUCCCAGUGUAGCGGUGAAAUGCGUAGAUAUUGGGAGGAACACCAGUGGCGAAGGCGCCUUUCUGGACUGUGUCUGACGCUGAGAUGCGAAAGCCAGGGUAGCGAACGGGAUUAGAUACCCUAGUAGUCC
RNAcentral lists this ribosomal RNA (450 nucleotides) under uncultured bacterium. Its description in RNAcentral is "partial 16S ribosomal RNA". It matches the Rfam family "Bacterial small subunit ribosomal RNA", at positions 354 to 796 of the family's 1533-position model. The record is from RNAcentral.